This is a long non-coding RNA of Sarcophilus harrisii (Tasmanian devil), 1673 nucleotides long. RefSeq lists it as uncharacterized. The transcript is spliced from 3 exons. The record is from RefSeq and is a predicted model, not a curated record. NCBI's taxonomy places the organism in Eukaryota, Metazoa, Chordata, Mammalia, Dasyuromorphia, Dasyuridae.
UAGGGAAAAACAGGGCUGCAGACACAGACAAGGCGGUCCCUUCAGACUUGAGGUCUGAGAGAUGAUUAAAGAACAUGCAACAGUGAAGAUGUCCUGGGCCGAGUUAGGCUAGCCCUUCCUCUAAGAAGCUGGGAUGUUCACUGACAGGACUGGAUGGGCAGGGGUGUAACAGCUCGAGAAAAGAGAAAUGCCAUAGCAAAGGCACAGAAGCAGAGAUGAGCAGGGAUCGCCUUGGACAGAGACCCCAGAUGGGGACCAGGGCAUGGGGGAAUCAAAAGGACGGGGACCUUUCACGACUUCAGGAGUCUGAACUGGACCCAGGAGACCACAGUCUUCAGCAUCAGGGAGGAAGACUGCAGGAAUCAGAGGCACGGGACGGGUGGCUCAGGGCAUUCCCAGAAUCCCUUUCUCCCUAGGACUCUCUCACUGAGUCGGGGAGUCUCUGCUUGACUGUCUCUGACCUUCUCACUUCUCCUGCUUAAGUGUUUCCUUCCCCAUCGGCCCCAGGGGCAGGUUGGAUCAGAGCCCAUCUAAGAGUUGCUCCAGCCCUGCCCUAUGCCAUGGCCCGGCAUCAGAAGGCCCAAGGUCAGAUGUGACCUUAAACACUUAAGUUGGAUGCAGGGGCCAAGAACUUCCCCAUGUCCUCAACCCUCCUCCAGGAACUCCAUCCUUCCUUCUUUGACCCCUGUCUUCUUCAGUGGCUGUCUCUGGGACUUAGAGACUCCCUGGAGGGGGAUGUUCUAGGCCAUUCUCCUCCAGCCUCCUAGGCUAUUUUCAGUGUACAGUCUCCUUCUCGGCUCUCUCCUGACCAUGCUCAGAUUUCUCAACUCUGCUUUAUUAGUUCCCUUGAAAUGUCUUGAUUUAUAACACCAUGAUUCAGCCAAUCAUUCUUAAUGUGGUAAGCAUGGACCAACAAGUCCCCAAUAUAAGCACACUCAUUCACACUGUAUCAAGGACAUAUCAUCAAUCACCGCACUUCCUGGUGUUAAUAGGCACAGGGGAAUGCUUGAGCCAGUUUGUACUAUUUGAGAGAGCAAAUUAGAGAAGUUUCUGGAAACUGGCAAAUAUAACAAAUCAGAUCUUCAUUUGUUGUUUUGCUUAUUGUCCAGAUUUUUUUAAAGUGAUGGAAAAAUUUUAAUGAUGAAUAUUAAACUUUAAAGUAUGUUGUAUAUACAUCCCCACCCUUGCCCAAGGCAGUGGACUGUUAAAUAUUUACCAGAAUGCCUCUGUUUUCAUAUCUUAUAUAAGAUUUCUUCAAAACCAGAACAAAGAUUUCAUUCUCAAGUCCUUUACCUUGAGAACUGUCUGUUGGUUCGAGUCCAAAUAUAUUAAUGCAUUUAAAGCAAAAAUUAACUGCCUCCACGGGUCAAUCUUUGGCCUUGUGCUGCUCAACAUUUUAAUCAAGGACUUAAAGACACAGAAGACAGUCUUAUCAAAUUCAAAAGGUGAAAAAUUCAGAAGGAUGGCUAACCUGCUGGACAGUAGAAUUAUGAAUCUAAAAGAUUUUAACAGAUUUGAGCGGUGGCUCAAAUUGAAUUAGAUGAAAUUUGAUAGAGAUGAAUAUAAAGUUCUAUAUUUGGAUUUUAAAAAAACUUUACAGGACAGGAUGAUAGAAGUAUGGGCAGAUAACCUUUUGUAUGGAGAAUAGAUAAGGAAGGCUUUGGAUGGCAAGC